RNAcentral lists this ribosomal RNA (433 nucleotides) under uncultured bacterium. RNAcentral's name for it is "partial 16S ribosomal RNA". It matches the Rfam family "Bacterial small subunit ribosomal RNA", at positions 29 to 507 of the family's 1533-position model. The record is from RNAcentral.
AACGAACGCUGGCGACAUGCCUAACACAUGCAAGUCGAACGAGGCCUUCGGGUCUAGUGGCGCACGGGUGCGUAACGCGUGGGAACCUGCCCUUAGGUUCGGAAUAACUCCCCGAAAGGGGUGCUAAUACCGGAUAAUGUCUUCGGACCAAAGAUUUAUCGCCUUUGGAUGGGCCCGCGUUGGAUUAGCUAGUUGGUAGGGUAAAAGCCUACCAAGGCGACGAUCCAUAGCUGGUCUGAGAGGAUGAUCAGCCACACUGGGACUGAGACACGGCCCAGACUCCUACGGGAGGCAGCAGUGGGGAAUAUUGGACAAUGGGCGAAAGCCUGAUCCAGCAAUGCCGCGUGAGUGAUGAAGGCCUUAGGGUUGUAAAGCUCUUUUACCCGGGAUGAUAAUGACAGUACCGGGAGAAUAAGCUCCGGCUAACUCCGUG